UGGGGAAUCUUGGACAAUGGGGGCAACCCUGAUCCAGCCAUGCCGCGUGAGUGAUGAAGGCCUUAGGGUCGUAAAGCUCUUUCGCCUGUGAAGAUAAUGACGGUAGCAGGUAAAGAAACCCCGGCUAACUCCGUGCCAGCAGCCGCGGUAAUACGGAGGGGGUUAGCGUUGUUCGGAAUUACUGGGCGUAAAGCGCACGUAGGCGGACCAGAAAGUUGGGGGUGAAAUCCCGGGGGCUCAACCCCGGAACUGCCUCCAAAACUAUUGGUCUAGAGUUCGAGAGAGGUGAGUGGAAUUCCAAGUGUAGAGGUGAAAUUCGUAGAUAUUUGGAGGAACACCAGUGGCGAAGGCGGCUCACUGGCUCGAUACUGACGCUGAGGUGCGAAAAGUGUGGGGAGCAAACAGGAUUAG
This 411-nucleotide ribosomal RNA is filed under the name uncultured bacterium. RNAcentral describes it as "bacterial SSU rRNA". It matches the Rfam family "Bacterial small subunit ribosomal RNA", at positions 355 to 781 of the family's 1533-position model. The record is from RNAcentral.